This is a long non-coding RNA of Oryzias melastigma (Indian medaka), 2515 nucleotides long. RefSeq lists it as uncharacterized. The transcript is spliced from 4 exons. NCBI's taxonomy places the organism in Eukaryota, Metazoa, Chordata, Actinopteri, Beloniformes, Adrianichthyidae. The record is from RefSeq and is a predicted model, not a curated record.
AUAAUAGUUGGGGUUGGGUCCAGUCACCCCAUGACCCCGAAAGAGACUGGACAUUAAAAAAAAAUGGAGGGAUAGGGGGACUUUUUUACAUAUUGUGCAUCAUCUUGGACUCUUACGAUCUCAGAUAACACAAGAAGGACCACAGACAGAUCAAAUGUCUUAAAAAUGAAUAGAAUACACCUAUAGUCAUUGUAGUUCAAGUUAGUUGGGCAAAGUAUUAACCUCUAUUUUAAUGUGUUUUUACAGUUGCAUUUGUUGCUUUCUCGUGCAAUUCUGAAAAACCACAACUGGAAGACUUGAUAGAAGACAGAGCUCAAAAUCUUAUCAAGGACAGCCAAGGAGGAGCUGUCUCUGCAUGCGAUGCCAAACCAUUUGUUUUGUCACCAAUAACUGGACCUGAUGACAUCAAGCAAACUAAUGUCACCAUGAUGAUCAACAUGGAAUAUGAGCAUCAAAGAGACUCCUAAAAAACGGUUUCAUUCCAAGAAAAUCCCUGGUGAAAGUGACGUACAUUGAUGACAGUUCACCCAUGCAUCAGCCACAGCUAUGAAGGGGACAACAAUGAGAGGGAGUUACUGGAAAAUCUUUCACUCAGUAACUUUGGGGACAAUGUGCACUUCUUGGAUGUCCUAGGACUAAAAUUCAAAACCCUGAAAGACAUUUGUCAAUAUAAUUCAACCAAAAAAUGUACUACUGAAAUGUUAAUUUCUGUCUAAGUAAGUCACUCCUCCUGAAUAUAGUAAUAGACUGUUUUUGUUUAAAAAAAACAAAAACAUCUGCGUCAGUAGUUGAAGUUGAAAUCCGCUUUUUUUUUUUAUUUCUGGUUUCUGUAAAAUCAAGUGCUGAUCGACCAGGGCGGAUCAAUCCAAAAUAUCUAUAGUAUUGAUCUUUAGUUGGUAUCGGAUUGAUACUGAGCCGCAGAUAUUGAUAUUUCCGCUCCUGUUUAAAACUAUACUGUAUCAGUAAAAAGGACCCAGCUACGUCACUGUCUUACCACUACUUGUUUCUUUUAGUUUGUUGACAGUUUUACAUUCACUUUUUUACUUUUUAUUUAAUUUCAAGAAGAUUUUAUUUUAAUAAGCUGUUUUCCAUUUAACUAAAAAUAUUGUCAAUACUUUAUCAAGUAAUUAAAAAAGGAAAACUUACAAAAAAAUAAAAAACAUUCACUGUGAUAAAAAGCUAUUUUGGGGUUUUAAGGUUCAUGUCCGAUCCUCCGCAUUUACAAAAUUAUUACUUUGGCGAUAUUGACCAGGAUCAGAUCAGUCUCUGAUCAAUACCCAAAUGCUCAGUAAUGAACAGCCCUGGUAAAUUCUAUUUUUUACAUUUAAAUGCUUCAAUGUCAAAUCAGUAAAAUAAAGUUUGUAAAAUUUGUUUCUGACACAUAAAAUUCAAUUGUAGACUGAAGAAUGUCAUUUAUAGAAUGUCAUUUUAGCAUGACGCUCAAGUUAUCCUUCGGGACACAAAGAUUAUUAAUAGCUUAAGUUGAUUUCUAUGUCUUAACCCAUUGUUGUUGUUUUUUUUUCUCUAACACAGAGAGGUAUGCUGAUGUUUUAAAAGGAAAUGUCUUAAAAGUCCUUUUCGCAAGUUUUCACAAAUCAGAAAUGUUUCAUUGAAUACCCAUUUGCUGCAAAAGAUCUGCAGUCAUUUAAACUUUCUUUAUACACUUGAUUUUGUGUGGGACCCAUUUAAAUGUGUUGUAGAUUUUCCCUUCUAGGUGAAAGCUAAAAGCGUAAUGCCAACUUCUGCUUCAUCUGACUUUAAAGGUGUGGCAGAUAAGGAAAAAAAAAUUAAACAAAAGUAACUCCCAAAAACUGGUUCUUGAUAUAUUAAAUAUUAAUCCAUCGCAUAUGCAACUUUAUUUGCAGCAUCCUCUUUUCAUUAUCUAGUAGGCUGGUGUAUUUCAUGUAAGCGGCUGGUUGGCUCAGUGGACUGGGAGUAGGGCUGCCUCGCAGGAAACCUGAGUUCAGUCCCCAGGGCGUGCAUUGAGCUUAAUCAAGACCCUUGACGCUACUGCCUAACUUCGUACCCUUGUGCCUUUUGAAUACAGGGUUGCAUCAGGAAGGGCAUCUAAAAGGGCAGCUAAAACUCUCUGCCAAAUCACUGAUGUGGAGCACUGGGUGACCCUGAAUGGGAUGAGCCGAAAGGUGAACAAGAACUGCUGUAUUCUAUGCAGAGCGGGUUUGGUGUAUGGGAACAACUGUAACAAUAAAUCAAUUUUUUUGUAGGAUUUAUGGUUUUGUCUGUUAAAAGCAGAGUUCUUCUGUUCUGUUUUCUCACUGGCUUGUUUCUCUGCAUAAAGAAAGUGAAAAUGUUUAGGCUUGCUAACUUAGCUAUCUUAGAAAUUUCAAUUAUGCAGACGGAGCAGGUGCUUUAAGAAGGUAGCAGAUGUAUUUCAGACGUAUAAAUGAGGCGAGCAACUUGGCAUACACCAAGAGAGUCAUAGACGGAUGUGGUAAACAAUGUGUAAAGAACCCUCCAGCCAGGAUGAAAAUCCAGGAGGUUGUAAAAGAAUAGU